CCUACGGGGGGCAGCAGUGGGGAAUAUUGGACAAUGGGGGGAACCCUGAUCCAGCGACGCCGCGUGAGUGAAGAAGUAUUUCGGUAUGUAAAGCUCUAUCAGCAGGGAAGAAAGAAAUGACGGUACCUGACUAAGAAGCCCCGGCUAACUACGUGCCAGCAGCCGCGGUAAUACGUAGGGGGCAAGCGUUAUCCGGAUUUACUGGGUGUAAAGGGAGCGUAGACGGCGAUGCAAGUCUGAAGUGAAAGGCGGGGGCCCAACCUCCGGACUGCUUUGGAAACUGUAUGGCUGGAGUGCGGGAGAGGUAAGUGGAAUUCCUAGUGUAGCGGUGAAAUGCGUAGAUAUUAGGAGGAACACCAGUGGCGAAGGCGGCUUACUGGACUGUAACUGACGUUGAGGCUCGAAAGCGUGGGGAGCAAACAGGAUUAGAUACCCUAGUAGUC
This 443-nucleotide ribosomal RNA is filed under the name uncultured bacterium. RNAcentral describes it as "partial 16S ribosomal RNA". It matches the Rfam family "Bacterial small subunit ribosomal RNA", at positions 338 to 795 of the family's 1533-position model. The record is from RNAcentral.